CUGUAACAUAUAUGUGGGACUCCACACUGGACAAACAAAAGCAGCCAUCACAAAGCAGAGACAAUGGCACGAAAUGCACAUGAUGGUAGAAGUUCUCUUCUCUACCACUUAGGCAGAAAUAAGAGGUCAGGCCAACUCCAUGGAAUUUUCAGGCUAAUAGAGGAUAAUCCUCCAUAUUGUAAAUCCCAGGAGGACAAGACUGUGAAUUCUUCUUCAUAUCAUCAAGGCCUACUUAUGCUAGAUGACCAUUUAAUAUUUGUUGCAAUGCAUACAAAUAAAAACUAUAAGUUUGAAUAGCUCAUAAAAACAACUCUCAGUUAUCUAACCUCUACAAGCAACAUUUUGGGUCAUUGUGAGACUUGAGGUAAUUGCCAUUUACCAGUUACAGAUAUAAGAUGUUCGUGGUCUGUUUAUUCCUCUCAGUAAAACAUCUGUCAUAUCAUAGCCUGGGUGCUUGCAUAAUUUGGAACUGUUGCCAAUCAACUUAGAUGCCUAGUCUUCAUGUUUCUCUGUGGCCAAAAGCCAACGCAAGUGUCACUUUCCCACAGAGUAUCUUGAACCAUCCAAACCACAAACAUCUCCAGCACAUGGUUUCCAUUAUAACAAUCCUGGGUAUCUGUCAAAAGUGAAGAGCAGGAGGUUGUAACUCUGAGGAGAGAAGACAGACUGGAGAGCCAAUCAAAUUUCAAACUAUACUUUGCUGUGGGCAUGGAUGGAGAAGCAGGUCACAUCUGAUGAAUGAAGAGGAGCUUCCAAGCAGCCAAAGUAAAGUAUUUUGCUACACAAACUGCAGGAUCAAUGUUCGUGUUUUGAAGCUCAAGAGAUUGACAGCUGUAGAAAUUAAGUUCCAGAAUAUAUCCACCAGCCAGACAGGAUGAAGAAAUGAAUAUAACUAAAAGAAGAGGGAAACCUCAGAGCUAAAUUUCAGCAAAGUUGACAUGAGAUACAGAUUGGCAACCUGCAUAACAGUGUAUUUUAUUAGCUAUCCAAGUUUUGAUGGAAAUUAAAA
Molecule: long non-coding RNA, 1009 nt
Filed under: Equus asinus (donkey)
Lineage: Eukaryota; Metazoa; Chordata; Mammalia; Perissodactyla; Equidae
Description: lncRNA (ENSEASG00005038162.1)
Source: RNAcentral